UAGGUCUCAAGGCCCUUCCAUCAUCUCCCGACCGCCACAGCGUUACCCGUUUCCUGCCCGUGGCCUGUCUGUGCCCUGCCAUCCCUCAAGACCAUUGUGGAGCUGCUUCUCCUUCCUGUGCCCCCUUAGGUGUGGGUCUUACUGAGUGCAGAGGGCUAACCUCUUGGCCGUCCUCCUGCGAGACAGCUCUGGAUGGUUCUGUUGCCAGGGAAGGGAGGCCUGCGCAUCCAGACCCCUGCCCACCAUGCUGCUUAAAAGUGUCUUCAGGAGAGAACUGGGACCUGGGCUGGGCCAGAGCCUGUGGAAGGCACUGGAGCUGGGGCUGAGUUGUGGGCUGGCCAAGCAGGUCAAUGGCCAGCAAGGAGGGGGGUCCGAGCCGGCGGCGGCGGCGGCAGUGGUGGCAGCGGGAGACAAAUGGAAACCUCCACAGGGCACAGACUCCAUCAAGAUGGAGAACGGGCAGAGCACAGCCGCCAAGCUGGGGCUGCCUCCCCUGACGCCCGAGCAGCAGGAGGCCCUUCAGAAGGCCAAGAAGUACGCCAUGGAGCAGAGCAUCAAGAGCGUGCUGGUGAAGCAGACCAUCGCGCACCAGCAGCAGCAGCUCACCAACCUGCAG
Molecule: small RNA, 616 nt
Filed under: Pan troglodytes (chimpanzee)
Lineage: Eukaryota; Metazoa; Chordata; Mammalia; Primates; Hominidae
Description: processed transcript
Source: RNAcentral